AUGAACGCUGGCGGCGUGCCUAAUACAUGCAAGUCGAGCGAACAGACGAGGAGCUUGCUCCUCUGACGUUAGCGGCGGACGGGUGAGUAACACGUGGAUAACCUACCUAUAAGACUGGGAUAACUUCGGGAAACCGGAGCUAAUACCGGAUAAUAUAUUGAACCGCAUGGUUCAAUAGUGAAAGACGGUUUUGCUGUCACUUAUAGAUGGAUCCGCGCCGCAUUAGCUAGUUGGUAAGGUAACGGCUUACCAAGGCAACGAUGCGUAGCCGACCUGAGAGGGUGAUCGGCCACACUGGAACUGAGACACGGUCCAGACUCCUACGGGAGGCAGCAGUAGGGAAUCUUCCGCAAUGGGCGAAAGCCUGACGGAGCAACGCCGCGUGAGUGAUGAAGGUCUUCGGAUCGUAAAACUCUGUUAUUAGGGAAGAACAAAUGUGUAAGUAACUAUGCACGUCUUGACGGUACCUAUUCAGAAAGCCACGGCUAACUACGUG
Molecule: ribosomal RNA, 496 nt
Filed under: uncultured bacterium
Lineage: Bacteria
Description: partial 16S ribosomal RNA
Rfam family: Bacterial small subunit ribosomal RNA
Source: RNAcentral